This 255-nucleotide ribosomal RNA is filed under the name Sphingobacterium gobiense. RNAcentral describes it as "Bacterial large subunit ribosomal RNA". It matches the Rfam family "Bacterial large subunit ribosomal RNA", at positions 1090 to 1343 of the family's 2925-position model. The record is from Rfam by way of RNAcentral. Lineage: Bacteria; Pseudomonadati; Bacteroidota; Sphingobacteriia; Sphingobacteriales; Sphingobacteriaceae.
CAGCUAGGAUGUUGGCUUGGAAGCAGCCAUUCAUUUAAAGAGUGCGUAACAGCUCACUAGUCGAGCGGCCGGGCGUGGAUAAUAAACGGGCAUCAAGAACGGUACCGAAGCUAUGGACUGGUAGAAUGAUCUACCAUUGGUAGGGGAGCAUUCCAUGUGGGGCGAAUCGCCAGGGUGACCUGGCGUGGACCGCAUGGAAAAGCAAAUGUAGGCAUGAGUAACGAUAAGGCGGGUGGGAAACCCGCCCACCGAAAG